Molecule: ribosomal RNA, 465 nt
Filed under: uncultured bacterium
Lineage: Bacteria
Description: partial 16S ribosomal RNA
Rfam family: Bacterial small subunit ribosomal RNA
Source: RNAcentral
GACGAACGCUGGCGGCGUGCUUAACACAUGCAAGUCGAACGGAAAGGCCCCCUUGUGGGGUACUCGAGUGGCGAACGGGUGAGUAACACGUGAGUAACCUACCCUUGACUUUGGGAUAACUUCAGGAAACUGGGGCUAAUACCGGAUAGGAGCUCCUGCUGCAUGGUGGGGGUUGGAAAGUUUCGGCGGUUGGGGAUGGACUCGCGGCUUAUCAGCUUGUUGGUGGGGUAGUGGCUCACCAAGGCUUUGACGGGUAGCCGGCCUGGGAGGGUGACCGGCCACAUUGGGACUGAGAUACGGCCCAGACUCCUACGGGAGGCAGCAGUGGGGAAUAUUGCACAAUGGGCGGAAGCCUGAGGCAGCAACGCCGCGUGCGGGAUGACGGCCUUCGGGUUGUAAACCGCUUUCGCCUGUGACGAAGCGUGAGUGACGGUAAUGGGUAAAGAAGCACCGGCUAACUACGUG